RNAcentral lists this ribosomal RNA (430 nucleotides) under uncultured bacterium. RNAcentral describes it as "bacterial SSU rRNA". It matches the Rfam family "Bacterial small subunit ribosomal RNA", at positions 355 to 776 of the family's 1533-position model. The record is from RNAcentral.
UAGGGAAUAUUGCGCAAUGGGGGAAACCCUGACGCAGCGAUGCCGCGUGAGUGAGGAAGGCCUUCGGGUUGUAAAGCUCUGUCGAUGGGGAAAAAUGGUGGCCGUUCGAAUAGAAUGGUCAUUUGAUGGUACCCAUAAAGGAAGCACCGGCUAACUUCGUGCCAGCAGCCGCGGUAAUACGAAGGGUGCAAGCGUUGUUCGGAUUUACUGGGCGUAAAGGGCGUGUAGGCGGAUAGAUAAGUCAGGUGUGAAAUCUCGGGGCUCAACCCCGAAACUGCGCCUGAAACUGUCUAUCUAGAAUCUUGGAGAGGGAAGGGGAAUUUCACGUGUAGGGGUAAUAUCCGUAGAGAUGUGAAGGAACACCGGAGGCGAAGGCGCCUUCCUGGACAAGAAUUGACGCUGAGACGCGAAAGCGUGGGGAUCAAACAGG